UAAUUAAAUCUAAACUCAUUCUAUCUAUAGAGAGAAAAUAGAAAAACUUGCAGAUAAUCCUUACGCUUCCAGCUUCUCCGGUGGUGGCGAGUUUGCUCUUUCUUUUUGCCUCUCUUUCAUGAAUCGAUAUAUAUUUUCCUUGGGUUUGAGUUUGCAGUGGGUCCACUUCUAAAAUGUUAGAUCUGGUGAAAAAUGAGAUUUGAUGUAGGAGAGAGUAAAGAAGGCUAACGAAGCGGGUUUUCUUUUCCAAUCUAUUCUCGGAAUGGGACUGUACUCCUUCGCCAGCCUCAUCCCGUCCUCCACCGUCACCUUGUACUUCGGCAACUCGUCCUCCGUGAAAAUCCCUAAUGCGACGUAAUCCAAUCCCACGAUCCCGAUCCUGAUCGGCUCGUCGGUGACUAUAGCCACCAGAUCUUGUUGUUCUGCACAGUAUUUCAAAAAUGGUAUCGAAGAGAUGGCUUCAGAACCUUACAAUGGCCUUCAGAACCUAUGAGCUUGAAAAGGUCCCAACAGGCUAAGAACUCUCAGACUGGGUUCUUCCAGAGAACGGCCUUAUUCUACGAUCUAUAGUAGGCAUAAAGGUCCGUAUGGUUACUGGUGAAAACGUCCAAACUGCCAGGGCUAUUGCUUUGGAGUGUGGAAUAUUGACUUCAGAUGCUGAUGCAGGGAGAGCUGUGUGAUGUUGAACAAAGGCAACUUAUUAUAAGCUUGUAUAAAUAUUUUAUAAGCCCUUAUAAAA
This is a long non-coding RNA of Brassica oleracea var. oleracea, 739 nucleotides long. RefSeq lists it as uncharacterized. The record is from RefSeq and is a predicted model, not a curated record. The transcript is spliced from 3 exons. Lineage: Eukaryota; Viridiplantae; Streptophyta; Magnoliopsida; Brassicales; Brassicaceae.